Long non-coding RNA from Cervus elaphus (red deer), 1472 nucleotides. RefSeq lists it as uncharacterized. NCBI's taxonomy places the organism in Eukaryota, Metazoa, Chordata, Mammalia, Artiodactyla, Cervidae. The record is from RefSeq and is a predicted model, not a curated record. The transcript is spliced from 5 exons.
UCUGGGUGCAGAUGAGUCUAGAUUCUGAGGGGCCUGGAGCUUACACUGUUGGGUUGGCCGAGAAGGGGAUCCUUUUUGAGAAAAUAAUACAAAAUUAGGGAGACCCUUUAAAGGAGCCUAUUGAAUGAGGGAUCCUGAAGUGUAAGCUUCAGAGAGGGUUAUGUGUGGAGACGAAAGUGAAAUAGGAUGAGGAGAUAGAGCUUACGGAAGGGGAGGCUACUCUAGACUGGAGUAGUCUGGGGAGGCUGACGUCUGAGCUACAAACCAAACAACCAGGAGCCGGCCAUGAGGCCACCGGUGUGAAGAACAUUCUGAGCAGAAGGAACAGUGCCAAGUCCCUGGGGCCGGAUCAGGCUUGGAAUGGCAGGACCGCGAGAAGGUCGGGAAACUGCUGCUGCCCUCUCAGUUCCAACCUGAGCAGGAAGCAAGCACUGAAAAAGCCAGAGCAGAGAGAUGGAAAAAAACCUGCAUCCAAGGUCAACAACCUGAAUGGCAAAUGAGCAAGGCUUUCUCCACCCAGAAGAUGGCUGUCAGUGGUCCGGACUUACAUCCUUCAAGCUCACCAAAUCCAAGAAGAAUAGGAUUUUCCUCUCCAGCUCCAAUUUUGAAAUUCUGGAAAAGGAGUUUAGUGUCUUGUUUUGUUUUGGGCUGAAAUCCCCAGUGGAUCUUCCCUGCACUUUGCAUGAGCUGUCUGUCCUGUCACAGCUGCUAUGGGUGGGUCGUCGGUCUCAGAGUGUGAAACUGGAGACAAUCCUGGAACCUGUGACUUCUGGUUUUCCUUCUGAGAAAAUCUUCCAAGCCAAGCAGUCUCUCAUCUUUCUCAAGCUCCUAUGGAUGUAUGUCACAGCCCUUCCCCAAAGAUCGUGUGGUGGCACUGGGAAGAAAACUGAAAGGUGAGAUGACUUGCUUAUGGAGAAUUGUCAGUGAGUCAGAGCUCACACAGAGCUCUGGAGUUUCCAGGCCGUUAACUUAUCUUCCUGAACAUAUGAGUCAGGGUCAGUCCAGCCCAGGUAGUACCGGUACGUGCUUCGCCUGCCCUGCUCUUCCGGGCCAGCACCCAGCCUUCACGCAUGCACACGCACAGGUGCCCUUCAGCCUCCUUCUCCAUACAUCCUGGGAGGGGUGCGGGCAGACUUGGCUUAUUCAUCUCUCUUAAGAGGGCUGAGCUCAGGCUAGAAACUAACCGCAAGAUCUGAACCAAAAAAAGAGAAAGUAAAUAGUAAUCCUUCCUUUUCAUAAAUGUUGCAACAGCCUAGCUGUAGCUUGGAGCAUGUAUUUCGAGAAUAACCAGAAACAACCAAUGUAUUUGUCAAUAGUAAUCAGUUGUAAAACAUUAUGGUAUAUUCAGAGAAUAGAAUACUAUAAAGCCAUUAAAAUUAAUGAAAUAGGGACUUCCCUAGUGACACAGUGGAUAAGACUCCAUCCACCAGUGCCGGGGACACGGGUUUGAUCCCUGGUCCAGGAGGAUCCCA